Molecule: ribosomal RNA, 253 nt
Filed under: uncultured bacterium
Lineage: Bacteria
Description: partial 16S ribosomal RNA
Rfam family: Bacterial small subunit ribosomal RNA
Source: RNAcentral
UACGGAGGAUCCAAACGUUGUCCGGAUUUAUUGGGUUUAAAGGGUGCGUAGGUGGAUAAUUAAGUCAGGGGUGAAAGCCUGCAGCUCAACUGUAGAACUGCCCUUGAAACUGAUUAUCUUGAGUGCGGUUGAGGUAGGCGGAAUGUGUCAUGUAGCGGUGAAAUGCUUAGAUAUGAUACAGAACACCGAUUGCGAAGGCAGCUUACUAAACCGUAACUGACACUGAGGCACGAAAGCAUGGGGAGCAAACAGG